RNAcentral lists this ribosomal RNA (446 nucleotides) under uncultured bacterium. RNAcentral describes it as "bacterial SSU rRNA". It matches the Rfam family "Bacterial small subunit ribosomal RNA", at positions 355 to 825 of the family's 1533-position model. The record is from RNAcentral.
UGGGGAAUCUUGCACAAUGGGGGAAACCCUGAUGCAGCGACGCCGCGUGAACGAUGAAGCCCUUCGGGGUGUAAAGUUCUUUCGGCAGGAACGAUAAUGACGGUACCUGAAGAAGAAGCUGCGGCUAACUACGUGCCAGCAGCCGCGGUAAUACGUAGGCAGCAAACGUUGUUCGGAGUUACUGGGCGUAAAGAGUACGUAGGCGGUUUGCCAAGUUUGGUGUGAAAUCUCCUGGCUUAACUGGGAGGGUGCGCCGAAUACUGGCAGACUUGAGUAUUGGAGAGGAAAGCGGAAUUCCUGGUGUAGAGGUGAAAUUCGUAGAUACUGGCAGGAACACCGGAGGCGAAGGCGGCACCUGGAUCACAACUGACGCUGAUACUCGAAAGCGUGGGUAGCAAACAGGAUUAGAUACCCCCGUAGUCCCUGAGCGGGCUGGCAAGGCGCAU